AUGAAAGGAUGGCUUCUAUGUGUUGUCAUGUUGGCAUGCAUACCUCCAGUUGUACUUGCUGCAGGAAUAGCCACAAAAAUGAUGACCAAAAUCACGAGCAGAAGUCAAGCAUCAUACAGUAAUGCGGGGAAUGUUGUCGAACAAACAAUUGGAGCCAUAAAAACAGUCGUUUCUUUCAAUGGGGAGAAGCAAGCCAUAGAAGCAUACAAUAAACUAAUACACAGAUCAUAUGAGAAUGUUGUUGAGGAAGGACUUACCAAUGGUUUUGGCAUGGGUUCUGUUUUCUUUGCCCUCUUCUCUAGCUAUGGCCUAGCCAUAUGGUAUGGUGGGAAGUUAGUACUUACAAAAGGAUACACUGGAGGACAAGUCCUCACUGUCCUGUUAGCUAUCAUGACCGGGGCAGCAUCUUUAGGUAAUGCAGCCCCGUGUAUGACUGCCUUUGCAGAAGGACAAUCAGCAGCACACAGAAUGUUCAGAAUAAUCAAGAGGAAACCAGAUAUUGAUCCUGAUGACAAUAUUGGUAAACAACUAGAAGAAAUGAGGGGUGAUGUUGAGUUGAAGGAUGUGUACUUUAGCUACCCAUCAAGGCCCGGGAAACUAACAUUUGAUGGAUUCUCACUACAUGUGCGUACUGGCACUAUGAUGGCUAUAGUUGGGGAGAGUGGGAGUGGCAAGUCAACCAUGGUUAGUCUUGUAGAGAGAUUUUAUGAUCCGCAGGCUGGUGAGAUUUUGAUUGACGGGAUCAAUAUCAAGAGUUUACACCUUGAUUCAGUAAGAGCAAAAAUUGGUCUUGUUAGCCAAGAGCCCUUGCUCUUUAUGACCUCAAUUAAAGAUAACAUAACAUAUGGCAAAGAAGAUGCAACAAUGGAUGAGAUUAAGAGAGCUGCCGAGCUUGCUAAUGCGGCAAAUUUUGUUGGUAAGUUGCCCAAUGGGUAUAACACAAUGGUUGGCCAACGUGGUGCUCAACUUUCUGGGGGACAAAAGCAAAGGAUUGCGAUUGCUAGAGCAAUCAUUAAAAACCCCAAAAUACUCUUGCUAGAUGAGGCUACUAGUGCAUUAGAUGUGGAAGCAGAGAGGAUAGUUCAGGUGGCACUGGAUAGGAUCAUGGUUGAUAGAAGUACGCUUGUGGUUGCACACCGUUUAAGUACCAUUAGGAAUGCUAAUUGCAUAUCAGUUAUUCAAGAAGGAAAGAUAGUUGAGCAAGGUACCCAUGAUGAAUUAGUACUAAACUUAGAUGGUGCAUACUCUCAACUUAUUCUACUACAAGAAAGCCAUGAAGAGAAAAGAAUAGAUCGUCGAUUGUCUACUCAACGGUCUAAAAGCGCAAGCCUGUCAAUGAAGCGAUCGAUUAGUGAUUCUCUAGGAAGCAGUAGCGGGCACUCUUUUACAUUACCCUCCAGACUGCCUGGCACAGUUGAAUCGUCUGUAGGAAAUGAUACACAUAAGGAGAAUCAGAAAGAGUGCAAUUUUGAUGGUUUGGUCCCAAACCAAUCUCCCAUGGUACGGCUAGCACUUCUUAACAAGCCAGAGGUACCUAUUCUUCUGUUGGGAUCCUUAGCGGCAGCAGUUCACGGAGUGCUUUUCCCAAUGUUUGGUUUAAUGCUUUCAAGUGCCAUUAAAGCUUUCUAUGAGCCACUGGAUAAACUAAAAAAGGAUACUAGUUUUUGGGGUCUGAUAUGUGUUGUCAUAGGCAUCAUAUCGAUAAUCUCAAUACCAGAAGAGUUCUUCUUAUUUGGAAUAGCUGGAGGAAAGCUUAUCGAGCGCAUCCGGGCUUUAUCAUUUCAAAGCAUUGUGCACCAAGAAGUUGCUUGGUUUGAUGAUCCGAGAAAUUCCAGUGGAGCACUUGGUGCAAGACUAUCAAUUGAUGCUUUAAAUGUCCGACGUUUAGUGGGAGAUAACUUGUCCUUAAUAGUUCAGAUUAUCUCAACACUUGUCACAGGAGUUUUCAUUGCUAUGAUAGCUGAUUGGAAGCUCUCUUUGAUCCUCAUAUGUGUGAUUCCACUUGUGGGUCUACAAAGUUAUGCCCAUGUGAAGUUCUUAGGUGGAUUUAGUCAAGAUGCUAAGAUGAUGCAUGAAGAUGCGAGUCAAGUGGCCACAGAUGCAGUCAUUAGUAUAAGGACCAUAGCUUCUUUUUGUUCACGGAAAAGAAUUACAAGAAUAUAUGAUUAUAAAUGUGAAGAAUCAAUGAAUCAAGGAUUCAAAACUGGAGUAGUUGGGGGUAUUGGAUUUGGUUUCUCUUACUUGAUGUUGUACCUUACAUAUGGUCUUUGUUUCUAUGUCGGAGGGCAAUUUGUGCGCCAAGGAAAAUCAAAAUUUGGUGACAUCUUCGAGGUUUUCUUUGCACUAGUUUUAGCAACUAUGGGAGUAUCUCAAACAAGUGCUAUGGUCUCCGAUUCAAAUAAAGCAAAGAUUUCAGCUAUCUCCGUAUUUGCUUUGCUGGACCGAAAGUCAAAAAUUGACUCAAGCAACAAUGAGGGUUUUACAUUAGAUGAGGUCAAGGGAGACAUUGAUUUCCGACAUGUCAGCUUCAAGUACCCAACUCGCCCAGAUAUUAUCAUCUUCAAUGACUUUACCCUGCAUAUUCCGGUUGGCAAGACUAUUGCACUUGUUGGAGAGAGUGGUAGUGGGAAGUUAACGGUAAUUGCGCUAUUGGAGAGAUUCUAUGAUCCUGAUUUAGGCACCACUUUAUUGGAUGGAGUGGGAAUCAACAACUUAAACAUCAAGUGGUUGAGGGACCAAAUCGGACUGGUGAGCCAAGAGCAUGUGCUCUUCAAUGACACUAUUCGUGCCAACAUAGCCUAUGGUAACAAACGGGAAGUCAAAGAGGAGGAGCUCAUAUCAGCAGCAAAGGCAUCCAAUGCGCAUGAGUUCAUAUCAAGCCUUCCUCGUGGAUAUGACACCUCCGUUGGAGAGAGAGGGAUACAACUAUCUGGUGGCCAAAAGCAGCGGGUGGCUAUUGCAAGGGCCAUACCGAAAGACCCUAAGAUACUACUACUCGACGAGGCAACUAGCGCCUUGGAUGUUGAAUCUGAACGGAUAGUGCAUAUUGCCUUAAAUCAUGUUAUGGUUGGCAGGACAACGAUUGUUGUGGCGCACCGCCUAUCGACGAUCAAAUGUGUUGAUACCAUUGAAGUUCUCCAGGAUGGUGUGAUAGUAGAGAAAGGAAGUCACGCGUCCUUGAUGAAACUCAAAGAUGGAGUGUAUGCUUCACUGGUCGAACUCCAGUCGGCGUCAUCAUAA
Molecule: ribosomal RNA, 3240 nt
Filed under: Triticum aestivum (bread wheat)
Lineage: Eukaryota; Viridiplantae; Streptophyta; Magnoliopsida; Poales; Poaceae
Description: partial small subunit ribosomal RNA
Source: RNAcentral